RNA transcript from Vigna unguiculata (cowpea), 1804 nucleotides. It is a transcript of the gene named SKP1-like 20, with no coding region annotated. The record is from RefSeq and is a predicted model, not a curated record. Lineage: Eukaryota; Viridiplantae; Streptophyta; Magnoliopsida; Fabales; Fabaceae.
CAUGUCAAACCAAAAUUUCUUUCUUAUUUUUAUUCAUCCAAAUCAAAAUCUCUUUCUCUCUCUUGUUUCUCUCUCUUCCAUUCUAUCUAUCCAUUUCUGUCCAUCGCCGACAACCGCCAAUUCCCUCCAUUUCAAAGCAAACCCCUUUCUUAUCUCUCUUCUCAGUUGUAGCUCAAACUCUUGCUAAAUUAUUCUCCAUUCUUCACUUUCUCAAGUUUACAUCUGUUUUGCAAAUACUUUUACGGACCACGCAUAUGAGUGAUGUUGCUGGAGCUUCUUAAUCCUUAUUGCUGAAUAACUAUGACAACUGGAUGAUGCAUUAUCUGACUGUCUGGAUUUGAAGUUUACAUUUGUGAUUCAGCUAAUAUUGUUUGCAUCACAGAAACUUUCACCAAUAGAUUUUACUUUUCAAAUUGGUUUAAUAUGUCAGAAAUUGACAUGACGGUUAUUAAACCAGAGAAAAAAUUUCAGAUGAUGAAGCCUUAUAUCUGGCUUGAGACAUCAGAUGGUUCAAUCCAGCAAGUGGAACAAGAAAUUGCAAUGUAUUGCCCUUUGAUUUGUAAAGAAAUAAUACAAAAAGGGAUGGGAUCUUCCAAGAAUUGUGCAAUAUGUCUUCCUCAACGAGUCAGUCCUGCAACAUUGAGCUUAAUACUUGAUUAUUGUCGUUUUCAUCAAGUACCAGGUCGCUCAAACAAGGAAAGGAAGUCUUAUGAUGAAAAGUUUGUUAGGAUGGACACAAAGCGGCUGUGUGAGUUGACAUCUGCUGCAGACAGCCUUCAGUUGAAGCCAUUGGUUGAUCUUACAAGUCGUGCACUUGCCCGGAUAAUUGAAGGAAAAUCUCCAGAGGAGAUACGUGAAAUAUUUCAUCUGCCUGAUGAUCUAACUGAGGAAGAGAAGUUGGAGCCCUUGAAGAACACAACUGAUGACCCAAGGAUCAGGCUUUUGAACAGAUUGUAUGCGAAGAAGAGGAAAGAACUAAAAGAGCGUGAGAGGUUGAAGAGUGUUGAAGUUGAAGAAGAGCAUAUAGAUAAACGUUCCGUUGAUGAUCUCUUGUCUUUUAUUAAUGGAAAUGAUGAAGAUCCAAAGGGCAUUAAAACUUCUAAGAAUAAAAAGAAAAAUAGAAGGAAAAAAGAGCAACAUCAGAAGAACUCUUGUCUGAAGGAAGCUUCUGGAGUGAAUAAGAAGGAAGUAAAUGGUCAAAACAUCAGACAUACAAAUUCUGAAGCUGAUAUAAUUGCCGAGACUUCAAUUUCACAUACAGAAGAUGUUUUCGCUCAUAAGGAGUUUGAUGAUGGAGAUAUAGAUGAUGGGAUUGAUCCUGCACUUAAGGAAAAAAUUGACAGGGAAGUGGAAGAUUUCGCCCGACGAUUGAAUUCUGACUGGCCAGAGAGGAUGCAAGAACUUUUAUCAUCUGGACAAGAAAGGAAGACGAUGCUUUUUAGUCCCAAUGGAAAUAGUUUUCUACGGCGAAAUGCUUAACCAUGGUGCCCUAUCAUUGCCAAAGAAACUUCUAACCUUACAACAGAACUUGGCCAGAUUAACUUGGAUUGCGACUUGGAUGCGUUGGAAAUGAGUGCGUAAAAGAUUGCAAGCCCACCCAGAUGACUAAUGGCUUUAACAAUUUUGAGAGAUACUGACACAUGCUAGAAAAUUGUUGCAUGUCAGUUAUUUUUAUUUUACUGUUUAAAUUGAUUCUUUGUUGUUCAUUAUUGGUGUUCAGCUCUGGUGCUAUUAGCUGCUGGGGGCGUUCUCUUGUAAACUUAUAGGAAAGAAAUAAAAAAAGGUUGAGGUUGUGUGGAUUAUA